UACAGAGGCCUCGAGCGUUGUUCGGAAUUACUGGGCGUAAAGCGAAUGUAGGUGGUGGUGUAAGUCAGAUGUGAAAGCCCGGGGCUUAACCCCGGAAAUGCAUUUGAUACUGCAUUGCUAGAGUGUGAGAGAGGAAAGGGGAAUUCCCAGUGUAGGAGUGAAAUCCGUAGAUAUUGGGAGGAAUACCGAUGGCGAAGGCACCUUUCUGGCUCAUUACUGACACUGAGAUUCAAAAGCGUGGGGAG
RNAcentral lists this ribosomal RNA (245 nucleotides) under uncultured bacterium. Its description in RNAcentral is "partial 16S ribosomal RNA". It matches the Rfam family "Bacterial small subunit ribosomal RNA", at positions 524 to 768 of the family's 1533-position model. The record is from RNAcentral.